This 253-nucleotide ribosomal RNA is filed under the name uncultured bacterium. RNAcentral's name for it is "partial 16S ribosomal RNA". It matches the Rfam family "Bacterial small subunit ribosomal RNA", at positions 524 to 776 of the family's 1533-position model. The record is from RNAcentral.
UACGGAGGGUGCAAGCGUUAUCCGGAUUCACUGGGUUUAAAGGGUGCGUAGGCGGUCAUUUAAGUCUGACGUGAAAUCUCCGGGCCUAACCCGGAAACUGCGUUGGAAACUAUCUGACUAGAGGAGUGGAGGGGAGAUUGGAAUACUUGGUGUAGCAGUGAAAUGCGUAGAUAUCAAGUGGAACACCAGUGGCGAAGGCGAAUCUCUGGACAUUUCCUGACGCUGAGGCACGAAAGCCAGGGGAGCAAACGGG